RNAcentral lists this ribosomal RNA (468 nucleotides) under uncultured bacterium. Its description in RNAcentral is "partial 16S ribosomal RNA". It matches the Rfam family "Bacterial small subunit ribosomal RNA", at positions 28 to 507 of the family's 1533-position model. The record is from RNAcentral.
GACGAACGCUGGCGGCGUGCUUAACACAUGCAAGUCGAACGGAAAGGCCCUGCUUUUGUGGGGUGCUCGAGUGGCGAACGGGUGAGUAACACUUGAGUAACCUGCCCUUGACUUUGGGAUAACUUCAGGAAACUGGGGCUAAUACCGGAUAGGAGCUCCUGCUGCAUGGUGGGGGUUGGAAAGUUUCGGCGGUUGGGGAUGGACUCGCGGCUUAUCAGCUUGUUGGGUGGGUAGUGGCUUACCAAGGCUUUGACGGGUAGCAGGCCUGAGAGGGUGACCGGCCACACUAGGACGGAGAUACGGCCCAGACCCGUCCGGGAGGCAGCAGUGGAGAGGAUUACACAAUGGGCGGAAGCCUGAUGCAGCAACGCCGCGUGCGGGAUGACGGCCUGCGGGUUGUAAACCGCUUUCGCCUGUGACGAAGCGUGAGUGACGGUAAUGGGUAAAGAAGCACCGGCUAACUACGUG